RNAcentral lists this ribosomal RNA (496 nucleotides) under uncultured bacterium. RNAcentral describes it as "partial 16S ribosomal RNA". It matches the Rfam family "Bacterial small subunit ribosomal RNA", at positions 28 to 506 of the family's 1533-position model. The record is from RNAcentral.
GAUGAACGCUGGCGGCGUGCCUAAUACAUGCAAGUCGAGCGAACAGACGAGGAGCUUGCUCCUUCGACGUUAGCGGCGGACGGGUGAGUAACACGUAGGUAACCUACCUAUAAGACUGGGAUAACUUCGGGAAACCGGAGCUAAUACCGGAUAAUAUUUCGAACCGCAUGGUUCGAUAGUGAAAGAUGGCUUUGCUAUCACUUAUAGAUGGACCUGCGCCGUAUUAGCUAGUUGGUAAGGUAACGGCUUACCAAGGCAACGAUACGUAGCCGACCUGAGAGGGUGAUCGGCCACACUGGAGCUGAGACACGGUCCAGACUCCUACGGGAGGCAGCAGUAGGGAAUCUUCCGCAAUGGGCGAAAGCCUGACGGAGCAACGCCGCGUGAGUGAUGAAGGUCUUCGGAUCGUAAAACUCUGUUAUUAGGGAAGAACAAACGUGUAAGUAACUGUGCACGUCUUGACGGUACCUAAUCAGAAAGCCACGGCUAACUACGU